CAGUCGAACGAGAGAGAGGGAGCUUGCUUCCUCAAUCGAGUGGCGAACGGCCGUGUAACGCGUGAGGAACCUGCCUCAAAGAGGGGGACAACAGUUGGAAACGACUGCUAAUACCGCAUAAGCCCACAGGUCGGCAUCGACCAGAGGGAAAAGGAGCAAUCCGCUUUGAGAUGGCCUCGCGUCCGAUUAGCUAGUUGGUGAGGUAACGGCCUACCAAGGCAACGAUCAGUAGCCGGUCUGAGAGGAUGAACGGCCACAUUGGAACUGAGACACGGUCCAAACUCCUACGGGAGGCAGCAGUGGGGAAUAUUGCACAAUGGGGGAAACCCUGAUGCAGCAACGCCGCGUGAGUGAAGAAGUAUUUCGGUAUGUAAAGCUCUAUCAGCAGGGAAGAUAAUGACGGUACCUGACUAAGAAGCUCCGGCUAAAUACGUGCCAGCAGCCGCGGUAAUACGUAUGGAGCAAGCGUUAUCCGGAUUUACUGGGUGUAAAGGGUGCGUAGGUGGCAGUGCAAGUCAGAUGUGAAAGGCCGGGGCUCAACCCCGGAGCUGCAUUUGAAACUGCUCGGCUAGAGUACAGGAGAGGCAGGCGGAAUUCCUAGUGUAGCGGUGAAAUGCGUAGAUAUUAGGAGGAACACCAGUGGCGAAGGCGGCCUGCUGGACUGUUACUGACACUGAGGCACGAAAGCGUGGGGAGCAAACAGGAUUAGAUACCCUGGUAGUCCACGCC
This 729-nucleotide ribosomal RNA is filed under the name uncultured bacterium. RNAcentral describes it as "bacterial SSU rRNA". It matches the Rfam family "Bacterial small subunit ribosomal RNA", at positions 59 to 801 of the family's 1533-position model. The record is from RNAcentral.